Molecule: ribosomal RNA, 1456 nt
Filed under: uncultured Chloroflexota bacterium
Lineage: Bacteria; Bacillati; Chloroflexota
Description: bacterial SSU rRNA
Rfam family: Bacterial small subunit ribosomal RNA
Source: RNAcentral
UAGAGUUUGAUCCUGGCUCAGGAUAGACGCUGGCGGCGUGCCUUAAACAUGCAAGUCGAACGGUGUCCGCAAGGGCACAGUGGCAGACGGCUGAGUAACACGUAAGUAACCUAUCCUCAAGUGGGGAAUAACUACGAGAAAUCGUAGCUAAUACCGCAUGUGGUCGUAGAGGUGAAGGCCUCUAAGAGUAAAGCCGAGAGGUGCUUGAGGGGGGGCUUGCGUCCGAUUAGCUAGUUGGUAGGGUAAAGGCCUACCAAGGCGAUGAUCGGUAGCUGGUCUGAGAGGAUGAUCAGCCAGACUGGGACUGAGAAACGGCCCAGACUCCUACGGGAGGCAGCAGUUAGGAAUUUUGGGCAAUGGGCGAAAGCCUGACCCAGCAACGCCGCGUGGGUGAAGAAGGUCUUCGGAUCGUAAAGCCCUUUUCUGUGGGAAGAUGAUGACGGUACCACAGGAAUAAGCAUCGGCUAACUACGUGCCAGCAGCCGCGGUAAUACGUAGGAUGCGAGCGUUGUCCGGAUUUAUUGGGCGUAAAGAGCGCGCAGGCGGUUAGGAAAGUUGGAUGUGAAAGACCCUGGCUUAACUAGGGGAGGUCAUUCAAAACUAUCUAGCUUGAGGGCAGCAGAGGAAAGUGGAAUUCCCGGUGUAGUGGUGAAAUGCGUAGAUAUCGGGAGGAACACCAGUGGCGAAGGCGGCUUUCUGGGCUGUCACUGACGCUGAGGCGCGAAAGCGUGGGUAGCGAACCGAAUUAGAUACUCGGGUAGUCCACGCCGCAAACGAUGGACACUAGGUGUAGGGGGUAUCGACCCCCCCUGUGCCGAAGCUAACGCAUUAAGUGUCCCGCCUGGGGAGUACGGCCGCAAGGCUAAAACUCAAAGGAAUUGACGGGGGCCCGCACAAGCAGCGGAGCGUGUGGUUUAAUUCGACGCAACGCGAAGAACCUUACCAGGACUUGACAUAGCAGUGGUAGGAACCUGAAAGGGAGACGACCCCGCAAGGGGAGCUGUUACAGGUGCUGCAUGGCUGUCGUCAGCUCGUGCCGUGAGGUGUUGUUAAGUCCCGCAACGAGCGCAACCCUUGUUGCUAGUUGAAAGAUCUAGCGAGACUGCCGAGACAAACUCGGAGGAAGGUGGGGAUGACGUCAAGUCAGCAUGGCCCUUACGUCCUGGGCUACACACACGCUACAAUGGGUGGUACAGAGGGUAGCGAAGGGGUGACCUGGAGCCAAUCCCAACAAAGCCACCCCCAGUUCAGAUUGUAGGCUGCAACUCACCUGCAUGAAGUCGGAGUUGCUAGUAACCGUGGGUCAGCACACCGCGGUGAAUACGUUCCCGGGCCUUGUACACACCGCCCGUCACGUCAUGAAAGCUGGUAACACCUGAAGUCGAUGAGCUAACCGAAAGGGGGCAGUCGCCGAGGGUGGGACUAGUGAUUGGGACGAAGUCGUAACAAGGUAACC